RNAcentral lists this ribosomal RNA (518 nucleotides) under Salmonella enterica subsp. enterica serovar Saintpaul. Its description in RNAcentral is "partial 23S ribosomal RNA". It matches the Rfam family "Bacterial large subunit ribosomal RNA", at positions 1216 to 1733 of the family's 2925-position model. The record is from RNAcentral. Lineage: Bacteria; Pseudomonadati; Pseudomonadota; Gammaproteobacteria; Enterobacterales; Enterobacteriaceae.
AUGCGUUGUUGGGUAGGGGAGCGUUCUGUAAGCCUGUGAAGGUGGCCUGUGAGGGUGGCUGGAGGUAUCAGAAGUGCGAAUGCUGACAUAAGUAACGAUAAAGCGGGUGAAAAGCCCGCUCGCCGGAAGACCAAGGGUUCCUGUCCAACGUUAAUCGGGGCAGGGUGAGUCGACCCCUAAGGCGAGGCCGAAAGGCGUAGUCGAUGGGAAACGGGUUAAUAUUCCCGUACUUGGUGUUACUGCGAAGGGGGGACGGAGAAGGCUAUGUUGGCCGGGCGACGGUUGUCCCGGUUUAAGCGUGUAGGUGUGUGUUCCAGGUAAAUCCGGUUCACUUUAACACUGAGGCGUGACGACGAGGCACUACGGUGCUGAAGCAACAAAUGCCCUGCUUCCAGGAAAAGCCUCUAAGCAUCAGGUAACAUCAAAUCGUACCCCAAACCGACACAGGUGGUCAGGUAGAGAAUACCAAGGCGCUUGAGAGAACUCGGGUGAAGGAACUAGGCAAAAUGGUGCCGUAA